Molecule: ribosomal RNA, 466 nt
Filed under: uncultured bacterium
Lineage: Bacteria
Description: partial 16S ribosomal RNA
Rfam family: Bacterial small subunit ribosomal RNA
Source: RNAcentral
GAUGAACGCUGGCGGCGUGCUUAACACAUGCAAGUCGAACGGAGAGGCCACAGCUUGCUGUGGUACUCGAGUGGCGAACGGGUGAGUAACCCGUGGGUGAUCUGCCCUGUACUUCGGGAUAAGCUUGGGAAACUGGGUCUAAUACCGGCUAGGAAUCACAUGUGGGUGUGUGGUUGGCAAGGUUUUGCGGUAUGGGAUGAGCUAGCGGCCUCUCAGCUUGUUGGUGUGGUAAUGUCCUACCAAGGCGUCGACGGGUAGCCGGCCUGGGAGGGUGUACGGCCACAUUGGGACUGAGAUACGGCCCAGACUCCUACGGGAGGCAGCAGUGGGGAAUAGUGCACAAUGGGCGCAAGCCUGAUGCAGCGACGCCGCGUGGGGGAUGACGGCCUUCGGGUUGUAAACUCCUUUCGUCAGGGACGAAGCGAAAGUGACGGUACCUGGAGAAGAAGCACCGGCUAACUACGUG